UGUUCUCUGGUUGAUUUGGCUUCAAAAUCUAUAGACUAAGGAAUAAGAAUAACAAAAAACAAAAAGUUGUGGAUUGGUAUAAAAUAGUUUUUCUAUAAAUAAAUAUAAUUUUGUAAACAAAUUACUAGAUUUGAGUAGUUUAAUUUUCUAUUUACCAAAAUAGUGCAUAUGUGGCAUUUGUGUGAGAAGUUGAGGACUGAGGGGAUUUGAAAAUUCAAGUA
Molecule: unclassified non-coding RNA, 221 nt
Filed under: Hevea brasiliensis (rubber tree)
Lineage: Eukaryota; Viridiplantae; Streptophyta; Magnoliopsida; Malpighiales; Euphorbiaceae
Source: RNAcentral